UACGGAGGGGGGUUAGCGUUGUUCGGAAUUACUGGGCGUAAAGCGCGCGUAGGCGGAUUAGAAGGUUGGGGGUGAAAUCCCGGGGCUCAACCUCGGAACUGCCUCCAAAACUGCUAGUCUAGAGUUCGAGAGAGGUGAGUGGAAUCCCGAGUGUAGAGGUGAAAUUCGUAGAUAUUCGGAGGAACACCAGUGGCGAAGGCGGCUCACUGGCUCGAUACUGACGCUGAGGUGCGAAAGUGUGGGGAGCAAACAGG
RNAcentral lists this ribosomal RNA (254 nucleotides) under uncultured bacterium. RNAcentral describes it as "partial 16S ribosomal RNA". It matches the Rfam family "Bacterial small subunit ribosomal RNA", at positions 524 to 776 of the family's 1533-position model. The record is from RNAcentral.